RNAcentral lists this long non-coding RNA (1079 nucleotides) under Homo sapiens (human). Its description in RNAcentral is "HSALNT0164853". Lineage: Eukaryota; Metazoa; Chordata; Mammalia; Primates; Hominidae. The record is from RNAcentral.
CUCCCUUCAAAAUCUAUGGUGCUGAUGACCGCCUGUGAGAGGUGAUAUCCUGUGAGAGGCUGGGAAGGGGAGUGUCCGUUUGAGCUGGAAGGCUGCCUGGAGGAGGUGUGGCUUGAACUGGGCUUGAGCAGUGGGAAGGAUUUGGAGAGCGGAGGAAUGAAGGAGAGCAGAGAGGAGAGGCUUGGAGAUCAUUCUCCUCUGGGUCUCUGCUCACAGACCUUCCAUCAAGAAAUUCACUACAGUGUGUUGGAACAGUCUAUGUACCUGACUACCACACAAGGGCUGUUGUAAGGAUCAAAUGGCAUCAUGAAUGGAGGGUACCAAGUCCUGCACCCAGCCUGCAGUGACUAGCACCUGCUCCCUGCUGAACAUGGUGGCUGGGGCUGGACAUGGUCCUUGGGGGUGUGAUCUGAGCAGCCUGCAGCAUUCUGGGCCUUUCAACUGCCGCAUCCUGGUACCAGUCUCAUGCUUCCUGGUACCCUACAGAUGGCUGUCUCCUGGUGGAGUCACCAGGUUGGAGGGGUCCUCAGAAUGCCAACAGAACAGAGCAGCCCUGAGCUCCGGCACCUGUCACUGUGGCUUGACUGGAUACAUAUCUCCAGACCAAGGUCUCUUCUCAGAUUUAUUUUUCUCUUUUUUCCCUCCCACUGGGGACAAAUAGCUUCCAUUCCUGAAGGGAAGUUGCCUGCUUGGAGAUGGACAGAGGAAGAUAUUUGGGUUCAGCUUAUCCCCUCUGGGCACUUUGGGGGAAGCAGCAUGGGUUGGGGCAGGAGAACUCUAAUGUGUAUGUGUUAAUAAACUUACUGUUUUCUAAAAUUUUGUCAAAGGUAUGCAUGUUUAUAGUUUAAAGAGGUGAAGAGUUCCAUGUGGCCUACUGUAUUUUUCCUUCCUUGUAUAACUUUUAUUUUCCUAGGAGCUAAUAACUAUCUUGUUCUUUUGUUUGCUUGCCUUUCUCUGUACUUAUCACUAAUUCAACUCCAGAGUCUUUACUGAUUGCCUAUUCCAAUAUUUUCACCCACAUCAGGUGCUCUAUCAAUUUCAUUGUCCUGAAGAGUUUCCCUGACAGCCUUCUGACCUGG